UUUGUUACAUCAUGGUCAUCUUCUUAGUGAGAUACUUUAAAGCAUACUUCAUCUUCUUCAUUGGAAGAAGAUUCAUCUAAGAUUCUUCCUGAGGUUGACUCUUCAUCAUUUUUAGAGGCUUUAUUAUCCUUUCAUCUCUGAAAGUUUCUACUAGAUGAGGCUUAUUCUUCCUAUCCUCCUCUAGAUGAAGUUCUUUCAUUUGAUGUUAAAUUCUUCAAGGAUCGUUCAACUACCGAGACUUUUUUUGAAGGAAACCACUGGAGUUUACUUGUAGGAAUUUGAUGAAGUUUCUGAGGAUUCUUAAUACUUUUAGCUCAUGCCUUCAUCUUUAAGUAGUUGAACUAGUUCGUUCAACUUCUCUAUAAUUUAUUCCUUCUCCGUUUUUCCUAAAAUUCCUAAACAGUCUC
RNAcentral lists this long non-coding RNA (407 nucleotides) under Lathyrus oleraceus (garden pea). Its description in RNAcentral is "Pisum sativum (pea) long non-coding RNA (PSAT_LNC009552)". Lineage: Eukaryota; Viridiplantae; Streptophyta; Magnoliopsida; Fabales; Fabaceae. The record is from RNAcentral.